UACGGAGGGUGCAAGCAUUAAUCGGAUUUAUUGGGCGUAAAGGGCGCGUAGGCGGGGAUAUAAGUCAGAUGUGAAAUCCCGAGGCUCAACCUCGGAACUGCAUUUGAAACUGUAUUCCUUGAGGAUAGGAGGAGAAAACGGAAUUCCACAAGUAGCGGUGAAAUGCGUAGAUAUGUGGAAGAACAUCUGUGGCGAAGGCGGUUUUCUAUCUUACUCCUGACGCUGAGGCGCGAAAGCAAGGGGAUCAAACAGG
This 253-nucleotide ribosomal RNA is filed under the name uncultured bacterium. Its description in RNAcentral is "partial 16S ribosomal RNA". It matches the Rfam family "Bacterial small subunit ribosomal RNA", at positions 524 to 776 of the family's 1533-position model. The record is from RNAcentral.